Molecule: transfer RNA, 83 nt
Filed under: Planctomycetota bacterium
Lineage: Bacteria; Pseudomonadati; Planctomycetota
Also listed under: 1 other name
Rfam family: tRNA
About the family: Transfer RNA (tRNA) molecules are approximately 80 nucleotides in length.
Source: Rfam by way of RNAcentral
GGCCGAGUGGCGGAAUGGCAGACGCUGGGGACUUAAAAUCCCCUGCCCGAAUGGGCGUGUGGGUUCGACUCCCACCUCGGCUA